GACGAACGCUGGCGGCGUGCUUAACACAUGCAAGUCGAACGAAGUGGCGAACGGGUGAGUAACGCGUAAUCAACCUGCCCUUCAGAGGGGGACAACAGUUGGAAACGACUGCUAAUACCGCAUACUGAAGGGGGGGAUUGCGUCUGAUUAGCUAGUUGGAGGGGUAACGGCCCACCAAGGCGAUGAUCAGUAGCCGGGCUUGGAGGAUGAACGGCCACAUUGGGAAUGGAAACCGGGCCAGACUCCUACGGGAGGCAGCAGUGGGGAAUCUUCCGAAAUGGACGAAAGUCUGGAGGAGCAACGCCGCGUGGGUGAUGACGGCCUUCGGGUUGUAAAGCUCUGUUAAUCGGGACGCGGUACCGGAAUAGAAAGCCACGGCUAACUACGUGCCAGCAGCCGCGGUAAUAC
This 408-nucleotide ribosomal RNA is filed under the name uncultured bacterium. Its description in RNAcentral is "partial 16S ribosomal RNA". It matches the Rfam family "Bacterial small subunit ribosomal RNA", at positions 28 to 526 of the family's 1533-position model. The record is from RNAcentral.